RNAcentral lists this ribosomal RNA (249 nucleotides) under uncultured Flavobacterium sp. RNAcentral describes it as "partial 16S ribosomal RNA". It matches the Rfam family "Bacterial small subunit ribosomal RNA", at positions 355 to 601 of the family's 1533-position model. The record is from RNAcentral. Lineage: Bacteria; Pseudomonadati; Bacteroidota; Flavobacteriia; Flavobacteriales; Flavobacteriaceae.
UGAGGAAUAUUGGACAAUGGGCGCAAGCCUGAUCCAGCCAUGCCGCGUGCAGGAAGAAGCAUCUAUGGUGUGUAAACUGCUUUUGUACAGGAAGAAACACUCCCUCGUGAGGGAGCUUGACGGUACUGUAAGAAUAAGGAUCGGCUAACUCCGUGCCAGCAGCCGCGGUAAUACGGAGGAUCCAAGCGUUAUCCGGAAUCAUUGGGUUUAAAGGGUCCGUAGGCGGUUUGAUAAGUCAGUGGUGAAAGC